CAAAUUAAAGCUUAAAUUAUAAAGUAUUUUAGUUACAUUAAAAAGUUAAUUGUGAAAUUCAAUUUAAUUUGA
Molecule: transfer RNA, 72 nt
Filed under: Calomicrus suturalis
Lineage: Eukaryota; Metazoa; Arthropoda; Insecta; Coleoptera; Chrysomelidae
Description: tRNA-Val
Source: RNAcentral